GGCCCCGUAGCUCAGCUGGAUAGAGCAGCGGACUUCUAAUCCGCAGGCCGCAGGUUCGAAUCCUGCCGGGGUCGCCA
RNAcentral lists this transfer RNA (77 nucleotides) under Hyphomicrobiales bacterium. RNAcentral's name for it is "tRNA-Arg". It matches the Rfam family "tRNA". Rfam says of the family: Transfer RNA (tRNA) molecules are approximately 80 nucleotides in length. Their secondary structure includes four short double-helical elements and three loops (D, anti-codon, and T loops). Further hydrogen bonds mediate the characteristic L-shaped molecular structure. tRNAs have two regions of fundamental functional importance: the anti-codon, which is responsible for specific mRNA codon recognition, and the 3' end, to which the tRNAs corresponding amino acid is attached (by aminoacyl-tRNA synthetases). tRNAs cope with the degeneracy of the genetic code in two manners: having more than one tRNA (with a specific anti-codon) for a particular amino acid; and 'wobble' base-pairing, i.e. permitting non-standard base-pairing at the 3rd anti-codon position. Lineage: Bacteria; Pseudomonadati; Pseudomonadota; Alphaproteobacteria; Hyphomicrobiales. The record is from RNAcentral.